UACGUAGGUGACAAGCGUUGUCCGGAUUUACUGGGCGUAAAGCGCGUGUAGGCGGCUAUGCAAGUCGGAUGUGAAAGCCCUCGGCUCAACCGGGGAAGUGCACCCGAAACUGCAAAGCUAGAGUCUCGGAGAGGAUCGUGGAAUUCUCGGUGUAGAGGUGAAAUUCGUAGAUAUCGAGAGGAACACCGGUGGCGAAGGCGGCGAUCUGGACGAUGACUGACGCUGAGACGCGAAAACGUGGGGAGCAAACAGG
RNAcentral lists this ribosomal RNA (253 nucleotides) under uncultured bacterium. RNAcentral describes it as "partial 16S ribosomal RNA". It matches the Rfam family "Bacterial small subunit ribosomal RNA", at positions 524 to 776 of the family's 1533-position model. The record is from RNAcentral.